RNAcentral lists this ribosomal RNA (492 nucleotides) under uncultured bacterium. RNAcentral describes it as "bacterial SSU rRNA". It matches the Rfam family "Bacterial small subunit ribosomal RNA", at positions 29 to 507 of the family's 1533-position model. The record is from RNAcentral.
AUGAACGCUAGCUACAGGCUUAACACAUGCAAGUCGAGGGGCAGCUAUGGUCGAAGCUUGCUUCGACUGAUGGCGACCGGCGCACGGGUGCGUAACGCGUAUCGAACCUGCCCUGUACACGGGGAUAGCCUUGCGAAAGUAAGAUUAAUACCCGAUGCCAAGUUGAGAUCGCAUGAUUUUGAUUUGAAAGAAAUUCCGGUAUAGGAUGGCGAUGCGUCUGAUUAGGUAGAUGGCGGGGUAACGGCCCACCAUGCCGACGAUCAGUAGGGGUUCUGAGAGGAAGGUCCCCCACAUUGGAACUGAGACACGGUCCAAACUCCUACGGGAGGCAGCAGUGAGGAAUAUUGGUCAAUGGUCGCGAGACUGAACCAGCCAAGUAGCGUGCAGGAUGACGGCCCUCUGGGUUGUAAACUGCUUUUAGUUGGGAAUAAAAGGCGGUACGUGUACCGCGUAUUGUAUGUACCAUCAGAAAAAGGACCGGCUAAUUCCGUG